GCCCGUGCCGUGGCCCGUGAGACGUGAGACUCUAGAACAGUAGGACCCCAUCUCCUCGAACCUCGACCUCCUUUAUCCGACGACGUUUCCGUUGCGUUCAGAUCUUUUGCCCCUCGUUUUCAAUCUCUCCCGAUCUCAAUCUUCGGUAACCGUUGUCCUUUUUUUCCCCCUCAUUUGCCCUAAGUCAGGAGCAGUCAAUAUAACAUCGUACGCAUCGUAAGGCUUCCCAUUUUGGUUUAACUCGUUAGGUUUAAUUAUUUCGAUUGCAUUGCACUGAUUGUUGUGUGUUUUGGGGAAUUUGGGUUGCUGUAUUGAUUACUGAAGAAUUUUUCAGGCCAGUAUGGUCAUGAGCUGUUCUUUUGAUAGUGUUAUGAGUUGUUAGGUUUCUCAGUUCCACUGUCUUAGCAUGAUUACGCAACCUUUAUGAAUAAUUUUUGUUUUCAGUUUGAAUUUGAGCCUAUAUUUGCAUGUAGUGUUGCAUAUGAAGGUAGCUUGAAAAAUCUUAUGUUAGAUGGUUUGUGUCAAAUUAGAUCAAUCAAGAAUGACAAGUGUGGGAUUAGUUUAAAUGCAACUCAAAUUAGUUUUGAGUGGGAAAGUUAGAUUGUUAUAGAUUGUAGAAUUGAACAUUUCUUGGACUAGCUUGAAUAGAACCUGAAUUGUCUUCAUGUAGUGGAAAAUAAAAGACCGGUGGUAAUAACCAAUCAGCAUAUUCAACCUAUGUUGCUUGGUUGUGCUUUAAUUGCCGAUGAAACUUUUUAUAUUUACGUUUGGUUGAUGCAAACAUGGUUUAUGGCAAUGGGAUAAUGAGCUCCACGGGUUAUACUGACUGAUAAAAACAAUGCCAUAAAAACGAUAUUGUAUCUGCUCGUGGCACAUAUUGGAAAUGAUCCCUAGGCAAAUCGAGUACUUGAGUCUGGCAUGAUAGCUUCAUGUUAAAAUUUAACAAAUGUAUAUUUAAUUCAUGGACAGAGGAACUAUUGAAAAGAGGUGAUGAAAAUUGCUUGACAAAUUUCAUCUUAGAGAGUAGAAUGGAUUCACUCAGUGUACGAAGACCGCAGAUGUUGGGUUCGUAUUUUCAUGAGAGAUGUAUCUUUUGCUGGAUUGUCUACAACAUCAUGUGCUGAAAGUUUGACCUCCUGGUUUGACAAAUAUGUGCAUGGGGAAACAUCAUCGAGAGAGUUCAUAGAACAAAACCAGGUAAUUCUCAAAGAUAGGUAUGAAGAGGAAGCCAAAGCAGAUUUUGAUGCUUGGCAUGAAACGCCUGAGCUCAAGUCCCCAUCACCUUUUGAGAAAGAAAUGUCACACAUGAAAUAUUCAGGAAAUUUCAAGUUGAAGUUUUGGGAGUACCUGCUUGUCAUCUUAAGAAAGAAAAUGAGGACGAGAUAUCCACAACGUAUAGUGUGAAGGACUUUGACAAAUAUGUGCAUGGGGAAACAUCAUUGAGAGAGUUCAUAGAACAAAACCAGGUAAUUCUCAAAGAUAGGUAUGAAGAGGAAGCCAAAGCAGAUUUUGAUGCUUGGCAUGAAACGCCUGAGCUCAAGUCCCCAUCACCUUUUGAGAAAGAAAUGUCACACAUGAAAUAUUCAGGAAAUUUCAAGUUGAAGUUUUGGGAGUACCUGCUUGUCAUCUUAAGAAAGAAAAUGAGGACGAGAUAUCCACAACUUAUAGUGUGAAGGACUUUGAAAACAAUCAGGAUUAUAUGGUGGAAUGGAAUGAAUCGAAGUCUGACAUUUAUUGUUCUUGCCGUUUAUUUGAAUGUAGAGGUUAUCUUUGCAGACAUGCUAUUGUUGUUCUCCAAAUGUUUGGAAUAUUAAGCAUCCCAUCUAAACAUGUUUUGUAUCGAUGGGCUAAUUGUGCUAUGAGCAGAGAUGCCAUUGGUGAAAAAUUGGAUGAGGUGCAAUCUAAGGUCCGACUUAUAAUGAUUUAUGUCUAAGAGCCAUGAUAUUGGAUGAAGAGGAUUCUCUGUCAACCUACCACAUCAGAGCUUCAUGCCUUUUCUGGUGUUGAUGAAGAGAAUCAAUUUAGCAACAUAUCAAUACCGGAUCCUGUCUGAUACAAAUAAAGCUCCAAAGCGACCUUAGGGUCAGCAGAAGGAAGGCAAUGAAAAUGAUUAGGCUAGAAGAGAACAGGUCAAACAUGUUGGUUCUCUCUCUUUCUCUCUCUGCCUCACCUCUUCUUUGUGGAACGGGUUUGGCUACAAUCUUCAUUUAUCAGGUGGUGGUGUUGUUUUCAUUUGAUGCUGUUUGCCUCAUGUACUACAGGUAUCUCUGCUAGGAACUGUGAGUACUGUGGCUAAAGAUGGCUUUCACCAAAUGGAAACCUCUGACAUGAAGCCUAUAUUGUUGCCUAAUGUGAUGCCGGCCCAAUUUCACAAUAUGAUGUUGAUGAUGUUUCAUAAUGUCACUUCAGCUCAGUUUCAUAAUGUGCCUCCAACAAAUUUGCAUGGGAAUCGACCGCCUCUUUAGAUUGACUUUCAGCUUCGUUUGUAAAAAUUUUGUAGACCUGAACUGUUACAGGACCAUAAGAGAAGUACCUAACUAGUUGCAUAGUUGCAGGUUCUACCAUGUUAGGUACAUGAAUGUCCAUUGCGCAGUUCUCAGAAUUUGGGAUUCUUUCGCCCCCCUGCACCCAAAGAAUCAACAGGAGAGAGUAACGAUUCUCCUUGUUAUGCUCCAUGUCUUGCGCAUUGCACGUGAUCCGUUCCCCAGUAUCUGGAUUCUGGCACAACAUGGAACAUAUAUAGUCCAUGAUAUCAAUAGUACAAAGGAGCUAGUGACCAUUAAUGUGUUCAGGACAUUUGGGCAGAAUCAUAUGAAUGGACCGUGGAGCGGUGGAGGGUCAUGGAGACGGUAGUGGUUGGUGUGGUGGGCUCUAAAGGUGGUUUCAUAAUUGCCACUACAGUGCUACACAAUCGCAACAAUAAUGGUAUUCGAGGUCGGCUACAUGAAGAUAUAUACACUAGACAGCUGUCAGAUUUCAUACAAAAUCAAAUGAUUUCUCUGGUCCCAAGAAGUCCAGAGAUGAAAUCUAGUUGAUUGGAUGAGGUUGUAUAAGUUGUAACCACUGGCUUUGUCCGGGUUGUCCGAAACUUCCACUUAAUUAAUUUGCCCCUAAUGUUAUUAAUCAGAAUCUUAUUGUCAGUUAAGCAACCAAUUGUGGCUCGCUCCUUUUGGGAAGAAGUAUAUGCUACUAUAUGCUAUUUCAGUAACCAAACGGUUGUUUGAAUAGCAUUUGAAGAAUUAUAAAGGUGGUAACAAUAAUUUUACGGAUUCA
RNA transcript from Tripterygium wilfordii, 3273 nucleotides. RefSeq lists it as uncharacterized. NCBI's taxonomy places the organism in Eukaryota, Viridiplantae, Streptophyta, Magnoliopsida, Celastrales, Celastraceae. The transcript has 4 exons. The record is from RefSeq and is a predicted model, not a curated record.